UGUCUGUGUGUAUGGCUGUCUGUGUGUAUGUGUAUAAGACUGUCUGUGUGCAUGGAUGGCUGUCUAUGUGUAUGGCUGUCUGUGUGUGUGUAUUGCUGUAUGUGUGUGUGUAUUGAUGUAUGUGUGUGCAUGGCUGUCUGUGUUGUAUGGCUGUCUGUGUGUAUGUGUAUAAGACUGUCUGUGUGCAUGGAUGGCUGUCUAUGUGUAUGGCUGUCUGUGUGUGUGCAUGGCUGUCUAUGUGUGUGUAUUGAUGUGUGUGCAUGGCUGUCUGUGUGUGUGUGUGUGACUGUCUUUGUGUGUUUCUCUCUGUCAGUGUGUGUGUGUCUGUCAGUGAGUCUGUGUGUGUGUGUCUGGGAGGGAGCCUGUGUGUCUGAGUGAUUGUUAUGUCUGUGAGUGAGUGUGUGUGUCUGUGAGGGAGCCUGUUUGUCAGUUAGU
Non-coding RNA from Pelobates cultripes (western spadefoot toad), 435 nucleotides. NCBI's taxonomy places the organism in Eukaryota, Metazoa, Chordata, Amphibia, Anura, Pelobatidae. The record is from the annotation of a GenBank genome assembly.